This is a long non-coding RNA of Pseudopipra pipra, 1322 nucleotides long. RefSeq lists it as uncharacterized. The transcript has 7 exons. Lineage: Eukaryota; Metazoa; Chordata; Aves; Passeriformes; Pipridae. The record is from RefSeq and is a predicted model, not a curated record.
UUUCCCUUCGGUCUCUGUGGGUGUGCCGGACGCCUCUGGCAGGACUAACCCCGGGGCUUUUAUGUCCAACGUGCUGUGCUGUGUGUGCCUGCAGCAUCCUGUCCAAGACAAAGCUACCUUUCUUUCCUCGUGGGAAUGGACUGGCCGGGCUUUGGCAAUCUGGCCCCUCGAAAGUCUUAAGUGACCUCUUCCAGCAGGGGAAGACUGAAGCAAGGGGUGCCAGAAAGAACUGGAGUUUCUGGAGAAUAAAAGCUGGAAGCGUGCCCCCGAAAAUCCCCCCGGGUGGUCAGUGGUCUGACUUGCACGGACCGGUGGCCUUGGCCAGGAGCGGUCCUGCGGGAAGUGCCUUUGCCCAGCCUGUAAUUUUAAUUUCCAUUGGUUGCUUGGCAAAGCCCCUUAGUGCCUGGCAGGAGCAGAGCGGGCUUCCAGGGAGGUAUUCAGCUGGUCAGCGUCAGGAACCAUCCUAACUGAGGCCUCGGCUUUCUCUUUCCCUUCGGUCUCUGUGGGUGUGCCGGACACCUCUGGCAGGACUAACCCUGUGGCUUUUAUGUCCAACGUGCUGUGCUGUGUGUGCCUGCAGGACCUGGGUGAAAAGGACAUUCUCUGAGGUGCUGGGAGAAGGAGGACUCGUGCGGGCACCUCCAGAGACAGCGGGAACGGGAGCGUGCUGCGGAGAAGGAAAAUUCCAGGGGAAUUGCCACGAGAGGAAAUACUUCAGAGGGGCUUCCCUCCAGCUAAGCCCUGAAUAUGCCAGGAGGUUUCAGCCGGGAGGAAAGGAGCUGUGGAAGAAAAGCAGCCUAAAAAUAGCCAGCGGGGAUCAUCAGGUUUUCCAGCCAAGAAGAACAAGGAGAGAGAUGAGGGAAUCGGGUUCCAAUUCCUAAUGAUUUGGUGGGUGCAGGAAUGAUUUCUGUGUGUUUUCCAGUCCCUUUUGAUUCCUGAGAUGAUUUUAAAAUGAUGGCUUUAGCAAUCAACUAAAUCGGAGAUGUUGUUUUUGAGAGGAAAUGAUGCCAAAUAAAUGCAGAGUUUUGGGUCAGUUUUUGGGAUGAUUUGAGUCAGUUUUUGGGGUCAGUUUGGGGUCAUUGUUUGGGGUGAUUUGGGUCAGUUUUGGGUCAGCUUUUGGGGUGAUUGGGGUCAUUUUUGGGAUGAUUUGGGUCAUUUUUUGGGGUCAGUUUGGGGUCACUGUUUGGGGUGAUUUGGGUCAGUUUUGGGUCAGCUUUUGGGAUGAUUGGGGUCAGUUUUGGGUCAGCUUUUGGGAUGAUUUGGGUCGGUUUGGGGUCAAUUUUUGGGGAGCACUGGGUGCUACUGGAGGUUGUUGGGGAGCA